GGAAAGAAGGGGACUGGUGUCUCAGCUGGCCUUCAAAGUCAGUAGCAGGUAGAUAAAACUGUCUGUGGUAGGUUCGAUUCCUGCUCUUUCUGCCA
Molecule: transfer RNA, 95 nt
Filed under: Oligoflexia bacterium
Lineage: Bacteria; Pseudomonadati; Bdellovibrionota; Oligoflexia
Description: tRNA-Sec
Rfam family: Selenocysteine transfer RNA
Source: RNAcentral